This 621-nucleotide long non-coding RNA is filed under the name Mus spretus (western wild mouse). RNAcentral's name for it is "lncRNA (ENSMSPG00010013972.1)". The record is from RNAcentral. Lineage: Eukaryota; Metazoa; Chordata; Mammalia; Rodentia; Muridae.
AAUGCCAAGUGGGUGUGGCAGCCUGCCUAUUAUUCCAGCCUCAAAGGGAGACACAGGAUGCCCCAAGCAAGCAAGCAAGCAAGCAAGCAAGCAAGCAAGCAGGCUAGAAAUACUAGCCAUAACAGGAAGCUCUGGGUUUUAUUGAGACCUUACCUCAGUGUGUAAGGUACAAGAGUGACUGAGGCAGAGUCUCAGCUUCAUCCUCAAGCAUCCAUAUGCAUAUGCACACAUAGUCUUGCAUACCACAUGCAGAUGCACACAUAACCAUGCAUACCACAUGCAAGCACACAUAGCCUUGCAUACCACAUGCAGAUGCACACAUAACCAUGCAUACCACAAACACAAAGAAGAAAGGGAUAAGGUAAGAGCUGAGGGCUUAGACAUUUGUAAAGCAAGCAGGGAAAGUGUCACAAAAGAGGCCCUCGUGAACAGGAAAGCUACUAAAGACCUAAAGUGAGAAGACGCCUUUAUCCAGUGGGCUGUAUACAGAAGAUUCUUGUUCCAGCGGAGUCCUGGCUAAGCACAAAAAGUCUACUGUGCUGGGCAUGUCAGCACAGCACCUGGGAUCCCAGCACUGAGGAGGGAAGUCAAGAGGAUCAGUAGUUCAAGGCCAGCCUGGAC